CUGUUUUGGCAAUAAGGAUUUCCUCCUGUAUGUGGGUCUACAGCCCACCGCCUGACCUCGGCCAUAUUACC
RNAcentral lists this transfer RNA (71 nucleotides) under Pachydactylus affinis. RNAcentral's name for it is "tRNA-Tyr". Lineage: Eukaryota; Metazoa; Chordata; Lepidosauria; Squamata; Gekkonidae. The record is from RNAcentral.